GAGAUUUUGCAUACAUAUAUCCCUGCAAAAUUCUCUAUUUAAUGUACCUUUCUAAUGUGCAAUUUCUUAUAAAACCGCCUAAUCUUAAGCUGAGCAAUCAUCCAAAUUAUGAAAGGAGGUUGACUUUGUAUAAGAGGAUACAUAUGUAAGUCAAUUGACUUCUUGAACGACAUGUACGAAAUGGGUUAUCAAUCAACAUUGCUGUAUGUUUCUGUAGAAUCUCGGCUCAAUCAAUCUACCCUUUCUUGUGACCCUGAAUCCUCCUCGCGUUCCGGAUCACACCUUACUUAAAUGGCGCACUGGACAUUCCUGUUCCAUCAGUUGCGGCCUCAAAAGCUUCUCUUGAGCUGAAUCAAAUUCAGGGCAAAGGAGGAAUAUGGUUUUGCGGAGCAUAUCAAGCAGGUUUCUGAACCACGUGAAGCUUAUUUGGUGACCUGGGAGGCUGGUUUAGAAGGUGUUCUAUCCUAAGCGGGAUUGCGAUCGAGCCCUGAAUUGUCCUCGACUGACUUGUGAGAGCUCUUGGAGGUUACAGUUGAGCAGGAGUGGAGUCUUGUUGAGCUGAUUUUUGGGACUUCUUGUGACUUGUUGGAGCUUAGUACUAGAGCCAUCUACAGGAGAGGCUAGGGAUCGUGGCAAGGG
This is a long non-coding RNA of Ananas comosus (pineapple), 639 nucleotides long. RefSeq lists it as uncharacterized. NCBI's taxonomy places the organism in Eukaryota, Viridiplantae, Streptophyta, Magnoliopsida, Poales, Bromeliaceae. The record is from RefSeq and is a predicted model, not a curated record. The transcript is spliced from 5 exons.